UGCAAGUCGAGCGAAUGGAUUGAGAGCUUGCUCUCAAGAAGUUAGCGGCGGACGGGUGAGUAACACGUGGGUAACCUGCCCAUAAGACUGGGAUAACUCCGGGAAACCGGGGCUAAUACCGGAUAACAUUUUGAACUGCAUGGUUCGAAAUUGAAAGGCGGCUUCGGCUGUCACUUAUGGAUGGACCCGCGUCGCAUUAGCUAGUUGGUGAGGUAACGGCUCACCAAGGCAACGAUGCGUAGCCGACCUGAUGAGAGGGUGAUCGGCCACACUGGGACUGAGACACGGCCCAGACUCCUACGGGAGGCAGCAGUAGGGAAUCUUCCGCAAUGGACGAAAGUCUGACGGAGCAACGCCGCGUGAGUGAUGAAGGCUUUCGGGUCGUAAAACUCUGUUGUUAGGGAAGAACAAGUGCUAGUUGAAUAAGCUGGCACCUUGACGGUACCUAACCAGAAAGCCACGGCUAACUACGUGCCAGCAGCCGCGGUAAUACGUAGGUGGCAAGCGUUAUCCGGAAUUAUUGGGCGUAAAGCGCGCGCAGGUGGUUUCUUAAGUCUGAUGUGAAAGCCCACGGCUCAACCGUGGAGGGUCAUUGGAAACUGGGAGACUUGAGUGCAGAAGAGGAAAGUGGAAUUCCAUGUGUAGCGGUGAAAUGCGUAGAGAUAUGGAGGAACACCAGUGGCGAAGGCGACUUUCUGGUCUGUAACUGACACUGAGGCGCGAAAGCGUGGGGAGCAAACAGGA
This 744-nucleotide ribosomal RNA is filed under the name Bacillus thuringiensis. Its description in RNAcentral is "bacterial SSU rRNA". It matches the Rfam family "Bacterial small subunit ribosomal RNA", at positions 56 to 777 of the family's 1533-position model. Lineage: Bacteria; Bacillati; Bacillota; Bacilli; Caryophanales; Bacillaceae. The record is from RNAcentral.